ACAAGGUUUCCGUAGGUGAACCUGCGGAGGGAUCAUUA
RNAcentral lists this ribosomal RNA (38 nucleotides) under Cladosporium sphaerospermum. Its description in RNAcentral is "partial 18S ribosomal RNA". Lineage: Eukaryota; Fungi; Ascomycota; Dothideomycetes; Cladosporiales; Cladosporiaceae. The record is from RNAcentral.